RNAcentral lists this ribosomal RNA (165 nucleotides) under uncultured bacterium. RNAcentral's name for it is "partial 16S rRNA". It matches the Rfam family "Bacterial small subunit ribosomal RNA", at positions 355 to 511 of the family's 1533-position model. The record is from RNAcentral.
UAGGGAAUCUUCCACAAUGGACGCAAGUCUGAUGGAGCAACGCCGCGUGAGUGAAGAAGGUUUUCGGAUCGUAAAGCUCUGUUGUAAGAGAAGAACGUGUGUAAGAGUGGAAAGUUCACACAGUGACGGUAACUUACCAGAAAGGGACGGCUAACUACGUGCCUG